Molecule: unclassified non-coding RNA, 352 nt
Filed under: Hevea brasiliensis (rubber tree)
Lineage: Eukaryota; Viridiplantae; Streptophyta; Magnoliopsida; Malpighiales; Euphorbiaceae
Source: RNAcentral
AGAUCCUAGGUGCAAGGUAUGUGACAUGUCUGGUAGUUUCAGUUGCAUUGUUCUAGCAACAUGAUCUGGGAUUGUAUAAUUUGGGCUAGAAUGUAUAGAGAAACAUAGUGCCAUGAACCUAAAUAUCUCAAUUCUCAAGGCCCUCUUCACACUGGAUACUUUGUAUUCCUCAAUUCAUGUCUAUGGGGAAGGUGAACUUUCUUAUGCUAGGAUAAGUGCAAUAAUGCUUGAUGAUCCUAUCAAUAAAUUGAAUGUGGAAGCUGAAAUUUAGGCUGAUCUGCCAACUUUGUGCCUCACUUUGAACUUAUUUCAGAGCUCUUAAUUAUCAAAUUUACAGGUCAUGAUAGUUGCA